This 329-nucleotide unclassified non-coding RNA is filed under the name plant metagenome. RNAcentral describes it as "partial contains 5.8S ribosomal RNA, internal transcribed spacer 2, and large subunit ribosomal RNA". The stretch from base 1 to 105 matches the Rfam family "5.8S ribosomal RNA", at positions 50 to 154 of the family's 154-position model. The record is from RNAcentral.
GAAAUGCGAUAAGUAAUGUGAAUUGCAGAAUUCCGUGAAUCAUCGAAUCUUUGAACGCACAUUGCGCCCUCUGGUAUUCCGGGGGGCAUGCCUGUCCGAGCGUCAUUGCGAACCCCUCAAGCACGGCUUGUGUGAUGGGCCCUCCCGCGUCUUGGUCGUCAAGACGGGCCCGAAAUGCAGUGGCGGCUUCGCGGUUAUCCGAUCAGCCAGAGCGUAUGGGGACUUUCUCUCUGUCACACGCCCGCGGCGCGGACCGACGCCUGUCGACCUCUAUUCAUCUUUUUCUCGUUUGACCUCGGAUCAGGUAGGGAUACCCGCUGAACUUAAGC